Capsicum annuum is the source of this 3178-nucleotide long non-coding RNA. RefSeq lists it as uncharacterized. The record is from RefSeq and is a predicted model, not a curated record. NCBI's taxonomy places the organism in Eukaryota, Viridiplantae, Streptophyta, Magnoliopsida, Solanales, Solanaceae. The transcript has 10 exons.
UUUCUUCAUUCGUGUUCUUUCUUUAAAUUUAAAAAAGAUUCAAUUUUUCGUUCUUAUAAUUUCGUUGGACCAUGCUGGAACAUUCUUGAAAUUAAAAAAGAACUUUUAUUACAUUUUUUGCGUUAAUUUGGCUGAUUGUUUCCUUUACUUUUGAAGUUCCAUUGAAUGGGUUUGCUAAAUUUCAAUUCUAUCAAAACUAAAAAACUAAACAUAGCCGAGGAUUCACAGAAAUUUCAAUUGAUUAGUUAAGUGGCAUUUUUACGAACAAGUGAGCCGCAUAAAGAAACUUACCUGACAUGUUAUUUGAAUUUUUUUUUGUAGUGAAACAUUUGAAAUAAAUAGUACUUGAUAUAAGUUUGAGGCUAAUGAAUUUUUCACUUUAGUGGUGUGAGUUUUGCUAGAAAUUAGUAUAGAUAGAGGAAAAUACAAGUAAAUCUUUUUAGGUGAUGUUCCGGCAAACUAAGUGAAGGAGAAUGAGCUGUAUUUGUAGUCUGUUAUACUAAGAAUUAGUUGGAAAUAACUAUCCCUGCCAUUACUCUUUAUGAGCGAGACACAAUUUCGAUUUGCUGCCCAUUCCUGAAUCAGAAUUUGAUUCUUAUAUUGAAUUCCACUUGCUUCCAGUAAACCUUCUUCAUAUUUAAAACUACACGCAAACUUUAAGGCGGCCAGCUGUGUAUAUAAUGAUCUCAUGUAACUGAUUCCGUUUGGGCUACAGUGGUGAUAACUUUAGUCUAAUACUAUCCAGAUAUUAGAUUUUUCUUCGGGCAUAAUCAACUGUAUUUUUCAUAGCUAUUAGUAGAUGUAAUUGAUGCGGCAAUUUACGUUCCCUUUGCAUUGCUGUAUCAGUUGCUACUCUCUGGAUAAAUACAUAAUCUUAUUUGUUUUCUCUUAUAUUGUGAAAGGAGUUGUGACUAGCAUUCAUUUAGUCUGGUUGCUGAUUUUGACAUCAGCUUCUUUGUAUGAAUCUGAUAUUAAAUUCUUUAUUAUGAAUUACAUUUUACCUUUAAAACAUAACUCCGACCAACGAUGCUAUCAGAUCAACUGAAAACUCUGUUACAUAAGAAUUUUUGAACGAAAUUAUCGCUUUUUAAGGUUAAUGUAAAGAUGGUGCUUAAAACAGUGGAGGUACAACUGUAGUGAAAACUUAAUGCAUAAGUCACCUGUGUGCAUUUCUGUAUAGGAUACAUUAAAAAUGUUGCAUUGUUGAUCUGUUCUAUCUAUUAUAUCAAAUGCCCUUUUGAACUUGAGAAGUUUUUGAUGAAUUUACAUGGAAAGGCAUAACAAAUUUGACGAAUACUUACUGCAGCUGUGAUUGCUUUUUUUUUUAAUCAUAUACUGGAAGAUUAUACGGUUUUAAGAAUGCUCUAAUUCUUGUACCUUCUAAUUUGCUUCAUUCUUCUGUAAUGUUUUCUGGGAAUGGUUAAUGUGCCCAUAAGAUGCAUUUCCUUGUUGCACAGUCAGUUCUGUUUACACUGUUGACAACACAGAUGACUGUAAAUAAAGAGUCUUUGGUGCAAACUUGUUCCUCCCAAAAAAGAAACACAACUGCUCUACGGAGAGAGCUUCUAAAAUCAACUCGAGACGACGUGAACGAUAUACGCAGUUGUCGCCCAACAAAAAAGAGCAGCUUUUAUACAGCGACGCACACAAAAACUUGAAUCAAUAAAUACAUCUCUGCCAGCUACACUCGCCGAUGAAGCAUUACGCCCUCAGAUAAAUGUUAGAUCACGUAGACACGAAAUUCUAACAAUACGAGAGCCAUCUUUAGUUACCCAAAAAGAUACAUCUGACACUAACAAGGCAACAACAGGCUUUAACAAAGGAAAAAAUAUAAUUGAAUACUUCUCUGUCUUUCUGACACUAACAAUGCAACAACAGGCUUUAACAAAGGAAAAAAUAUAAUUGAAUACUUCUCUGUCUUUGAAACUGGUUCAACAUCAAAUUCUCCCGCUAAACGACAUACUGUGGCAUUACCUAAAGAAACAGUUUUGACAGUACGAGAGUCAUCUUCUGUUGCCAAAAAAGCUCAUGCAUCUCGCGCAAAAAGUUCAACAGCAAUGAAAGGCUUCACCAAAGCAAAAAUUACAAGUGGUCACUUCUCUGUAUUUGAAAUUGGUUCAACAUGAAAUGCUUUCACUGAACGGAAUGAUCCGAUAACAUCAAUUAUCGCCAAAAAGGUGUUUCUGUUGUGUGUGUUGGUUGGCUGCAGUAUCUGCUGGUUUAACACAGUAUGCUAUGUGUUGUACAUCAAACAUUUCCCGCUAUUUGCAUUGUCCCUCAGCAUAAGUUUCAACGGUGCAGGUGCAAGCGCAGCCCUGUACAACCUAAUUGGAUAAAGAAGACUCUUUAGAUUUAACAACAAUUUACAGUUAAGGUUAAUUGAUCAAGUGUUAACAAAAUGUUGAAGAGCUCUUCAUGGAAUGUCCUGAAUGUUGAUCCAUUUGCUACUCCAGCAUCACCAAUUCAUUAGCAUCAUGGUGUUUUUUUCCACAUUUUUUGUACGCAUUGUCAUGAAUAUGCUGUGAUUGGUGAUCCAGUAAAGACAAGUAAAAACGAACACGAGAGUAGUAUCAAUUUUAGUUUAUUUUUUUCCUUUGAUGUGUUAUGUAAUUUAGAUGAAGUUAAAGGCAGAAGUGAUAAUUUGCAGUUGCGAGAUUGGCUGGAGUUAUCGCUCAACCAUUCAGUGCCAUCUUCUUUGUUAAUCCUUUCUAGAGCCUUCACAGUAUCAGGCAAAGUAAAACCAGAGGAAGAUAUUCAAGCUACAUUUUCAUCAUUGCCAGAUGAGGUGGUGGACGCUGUUCAGGUUACAUCUAUGCCAUCUGAAGAUUCUCUUGCUGAAAAGAAGAGAAAGCUAGAAUUCUUAGAAAUGGACGAAGAGCUCAUCAAGGAGGAGGAUGAUAUCCAAAGCAUUGUUCCCGGUGUAACCUGGUAGACAAAAGCAUCCCACACCACUUUUUCCAAUACCAGACUGCUUCAUUGAUUUGGAGAAGAAUGUCGAACUGGUAAAGAAUCAAUUGGGAUACAAUGUGUUGGCCUGAUGAAAGGAGAUGGGCGGAUACCAUUUGUAGGGGGUGCGCGGAUUAGGUAGAUUAAAUAGAUUUAGUAGGUUUCUAGUGAAUCUAUUUUUAUUAGUGCGUGGAUAUUUUGUUUUAAUAUCUUUUAAUAAUUUACUUUUUUC